RNAcentral lists this ribosomal RNA (253 nucleotides) under uncultured bacterium. Its description in RNAcentral is "partial 16S ribosomal RNA". It matches the Rfam family "Bacterial small subunit ribosomal RNA", at positions 524 to 776 of the family's 1533-position model. The record is from RNAcentral.
UACGUAGGGGGCAAGCGUUGUCCGGAAUCAUUGGGCGUAAAGCGCGUGUAGGCGGUUCGGUAAGUCUGCUGUGAAAGUCCAGGGCUCAACCCUGGGAUGCCGGUGGAUACUGUCGGGCUAGAGUGCGGAAGAGGCGAGUGGAAUUCCCGGUGUAGCGGUGAAAUGCGCAGAUAUCGGGAGGAACACCGGUGGCGAAGGCGGCGACCUGGGUCGAUACUGACGCUGAUGCGCGAAAGCGUGGGGAGCAAACAGG